CGGGGACACGCAGGCUCCCCGCCAGGCGGUCAAAUGCCGUCCAAGUUCUGC
Molecule: non-coding RNA, 51 nt
Filed under: unclassified sequences
Description: chromate-resist RNA
Rfam family: chrB-b RNA
Source: RNAcentral